GCGGCCGUGGCUUAGCGGAUAGAGCGUGGGCCUUCGGAGCCCAUGGUCGCGGGUUCGAAUCCUGCCGGCCGCGCCA
RNAcentral lists this transfer RNA (76 nucleotides) under Candidatus Bathyarchaeota archaeon RBG_13_52_12. Its description in RNAcentral is "tRNA-Arg". It matches the Rfam family "tRNA". Rfam says of the family: Transfer RNA (tRNA) molecules are approximately 80 nucleotides in length. Lineage: Archaea; Thermoproteati; Candidatus Bathyarchaeota. The record is from RNAcentral. RNAcentral also lists the same sequence under 2 other names.